RNAcentral lists this transfer RNA (73 nucleotides) under Treponema sp. RNAcentral describes it as "tRNA-Thr". It matches the Rfam family "tRNA". Rfam says of the family: Transfer RNA (tRNA) molecules are approximately 80 nucleotides in length. Their secondary structure includes four short double-helical elements and three loops (D, anti-codon, and T loops). Lineage: Bacteria; Pseudomonadati; Spirochaetota; Spirochaetia; Treponematales; Treponemataceae. The record is from RNAcentral.
GCCAUCUUAGCUCAGCCGGUAGAGCGCCUGACUUGUAAUCACGAGGUCCCCGGUUCGACCCCGGGAGAUGGCU